RNAcentral lists this transfer RNA (71 nucleotides) under Lobopterella dimidiatipes. RNAcentral describes it as "tRNA-Lys". Lineage: Eukaryota; Metazoa; Arthropoda; Insecta; Blattodea; Blattellidae. The record is from RNAcentral.
CAUCAGAUGGCUGAAAGCAAGUGGUGGUCUCUUAAACCACAAAAUAGUAAUAUAGCAAUUACUUCUGAUGA